GCCAUACCACAUUGAAAUACUAGUACUCAUCUGAUCACCAAAGUUAAGCAACAUUGAACCUGGUCAGUACAUAGAUGAGGGAGCACACAGGAAUAUCUGGUGCUGUAAG
This is a non-coding RNA of Acanthosepion pharaonis, 109 nucleotides long. The record is from the annotation of a GenBank genome assembly. Lineage: Eukaryota; Metazoa; Mollusca; Cephalopoda; Sepiida; Sepiidae.